Molecule: ribosomal RNA, 643 nt
Filed under: uncultured bacterium
Lineage: Bacteria
Description: bacterial SSU rRNA
Rfam family: Bacterial small subunit ribosomal RNA
Source: RNAcentral
UCGCUGAUGGAUGGACCCGCGGUGCAUUAGCUAGUUGGUGAGGUAACGGCUCACCAAGGCGACGAUGCAUAGCCGACCUGAGAGGGUGAUCGGCCACAUUGGGACUGAGACACGGCCCAAACUCCUACGGGAGGCAGCAGUAGGGAAUCUUCGGCAAUGGACGAAAGUCUGACCGAGCAACGCCGCGUGAGUGAAGAAGGUUUUCGGAUCGUAAAACUCUGUUGUUAGAGAAGAACAAGGAUGAGAGUAACUGUUCAUCCCUUGACGGUAUCUAACCAGAAAGCCACGGCUAACUACGUGCCAGCAGCCGCGGUAAUACGUAGGUGGCAAGCGUUGUCCGGAUUUAUUGGGCGUAAAGCGAGCGCAGGCGGUUUCUUAAGUCUGAUGUGAAAGCCCCCGGCUCAACCGGGGAGGGUCAUUGGAAACUGGGAGACUUGAGUGCAGAAGAGGAGAGUGGAAUUCCAUGUGUAGCGGUGAAAUGCGUAGAUAUAUGGAGGAACACCAGUGGCGAAGGCGGCUCUCUGGUCUGUAACUGACGCUGAGGCUCGAAAGCGUGGGGAGCAAACAGGAUUAGAUACCCUGGUAGUCCACGCCGUAAACGAUGAGUGCUAAGUGUUGGAGGGUUUCCGCCCUUCAGUGCUGC